UACGAAGGGGGCUAGCGUUGCUCGGAAUCACUGGGCGUAAAGCGCACGUAGGCGGCUUUCUAAGUCAGGGGUGAAAUCCUGGAGCUCAACUCCAGAACUGCCUUUGAUACUGGAGAGCUUGAGUCCGGGAGAGGUGAGUGGAACUCCGAGUGUAGAGGUGAAAUUCGUAGAUAUUCGGAAGAACACCAGUGGCGAAGGCGGCACACUGGCCCGGUACUGACGCUGAGGUGCGAAAGCGUGGGGAGCAAACAGG
This 253-nucleotide ribosomal RNA is filed under the name uncultured bacterium. RNAcentral's name for it is "partial 16S ribosomal RNA". It matches the Rfam family "Bacterial small subunit ribosomal RNA", at positions 524 to 776 of the family's 1533-position model. The record is from RNAcentral.